This 75-nucleotide transfer RNA is filed under the name Rickettsiales bacterium. RNAcentral's name for it is "tRNA-Gln". It matches the Rfam family "tRNA". Rfam says of the family: Transfer RNA (tRNA) molecules are approximately 80 nucleotides in length. Their secondary structure includes four short double-helical elements and three loops (D, anti-codon, and T loops). Lineage: Bacteria; Pseudomonadati; Pseudomonadota; Alphaproteobacteria; Rickettsiales. The record is from RNAcentral.
UGGGUCGUAGCCAAGCGGUAAGGCAACAGGUUUUGAUCCUGUUAUGCGAAGGUUCGAGUCCUUCCGACCCAACCA